GACGAACGCUGGCGGUGUGCUUCACACAUGCAAGUCGAACGAGGUAGCAAUACCUAGUGGCGGACGGGUGAGUAACGCGUGGGAAUCUGCCUUAAGAUGGGGGAUAACGAGCCGAAAGGCUCGCUAAUACCGCAUAUGCCGAAAGGUGAAAGGAGUAAUCCGUCUUAAGAUGAGCCCGCGUCCGGAUUAGCUAGUUGGUAGGGUAAAGGCCUACCAAGGCGACGAUCCGGUAGCUGGUCUGAGAGGAUGAUCAAGCCACAAUGGGACUGAGACACGGCCCAUACUCCUACGGGAGGCAGCAGUGGGGAAUUUUACGCAAUGGGGGAAACCCUGACGUAGCGACACCGCGUGAGCGAAGAAGCCCCUUGGGGUGUAAAGCUCUGUCAGCUGGAACGAAAAAAAUAGACGGUACCAGCAGAGGAAGCAUCGGCUAACUACGUG
This 441-nucleotide ribosomal RNA is filed under the name uncultured bacterium. RNAcentral describes it as "bacterial SSU rRNA". It matches the Rfam family "Bacterial small subunit ribosomal RNA", at positions 28 to 507 of the family's 1533-position model. The record is from RNAcentral.